CUCAUUCUUUUCUACUUCUUCUUCAUUCUUUUUCUUCUUUCUUCUUCUCUCAUCUUCUCCUUCUUAUGUUCUUCGCCUCUGGCGAUUCUCCGAGACUUCUGAGGCUGUGAGGUUACGAGAGUUAUACUAGUUACCAAAGAUGGUGGCUGGUGGUGGUGAUUGAUGUUUAUUGGUUUGGAGAAAAGAAGAAGAGAUGAUUUUUGAAGGAAUCAGAGGUUUAGGUUUUGAGAUUAAUUCGAGGUAAGUGGUAAAUUGAUGGGUUAAUCGGGCUGUUGGUGGAUGAGGAUUAAGAGGGUCGAUGUGAUUUAAAGCUGUAGGGUAGUUCUGAUGAUUGAAUUGAAGAACUAGGGUUCCGCCAUGAUUGAAUCAUUUGUAGUUUUAGAAAAGGGGUUUGAUUUGGAAGGUACAGAUUGAGUUAGAUACGGGUUUUGUGUUAAUUUAGCAUUUGUAGCUGUUGUUGAUGAAGAAUCGGUUAAUUAAGGUUUUCUGUUAGAUGAACUUGGAAUUGAAUUUAACAGCAGCAGAGUUGAAUCAAGAGUAUUCGAUGAUUGAUGCUGCUGGUGCCAGUGAAGAAUUCGAACAGUUGAGAAAAGGUAAUUAAGUUAGUUUGAUUUGGGGUUUGUAUUCUUUCCCAAAUCAGAAAUUAUGGUUUCUUAUAAUUGAUUAUAUUUGUAUAAAAUUGAGUAUAAGAUGAUGAAAUAUUAGAUGGGUUUUGUUGAAUUGGUGAAGGGGUGUUAUUUGAGUAGAGCUGUUAUGGAGGUUUCUUGGAGUUGGAAUCACAAGUGAUGCUGUAUUGUGAACAUCAGUUGCAGGGAAUGGCUAAGUUGAGAAAUGGUAGUAUAGGAUUAGGAAUGGUGGCUCAGUGGUAGCUUGGAAUUACUGCAACUGCAGGUAAGCUAAGAUUGUCUUUGUAAUCAAAUUAUGAAGUUUGUAUGAAGAUAUUGAUUUGCUGUUAUGGUUGUGAAUGAGUUAAACUGAAAGAAUGAAGAUGGUGGUAUUGAAAGAUGAUUAAGCUAAGUCUGGGUUGCAGAUGUAGUAAUUGAUCUGAUGAGGGAAUAUGUUGAUGUUGUUAAGUGACUUGAUGGCUAGAGAUGGUGAUACCGUUUGUGUAAUGAAUUAGAGCAUGAUCUAACAUGAGAAUUUAUGUGACUGAAGUACUGGAAUGAGGGUUAGAUGAUUAUAUGGAGUUGAACCUCUCUUGUAGAAGUUUGUAACUGCAAUCGCAGGACGAACCAGUGGAUCGUGGAUCUCGAGGUAGGCGUGGCUUAUCAUCAAAAGAGUUUCAGAGACGGAUCAGAGUUGCGCAGUGAAAGCUUCAACGGUUGAUUUCAUUAGUUGGUUAACUUUUAAUAUGUUUAUCACAAUGCAUAUUGUAUUUGUAAACCAAAUGACUAUAGUAUAAGAAGUUCUUGUAUAUAUAUAUUUCUGAGCGGGGCUAGUUUUGGGUUAAGUUUUGU
Molecule: long non-coding RNA, 1457 nt
Organism: Papaver somniferum (opium poppy)
Lineage: Eukaryota; Viridiplantae; Streptophyta; Magnoliopsida; Ranunculales; Papaveraceae
Exons: 3
Source: RefSeq, a predicted model, not a curated record